Molecule: ribosomal RNA, 422 nt
Filed under: uncultured prokaryote
Description: bacterial SSU rRNA
Rfam family: Bacterial small subunit ribosomal RNA
Source: RNAcentral
UGAGGAAUAUUGGUCAAUGGGCGAGAGCCUGAACCAGCCAAGUAGCGUGCAGGACGACGGCCCUAUGGGUUGUAAACUGCUUUUAUAAGGGAAUAAAGUGAGUCUCGUGAGGCUUUUUGCAUGUACCUUAUGAAUAAGGACCGGCUAAUUCCGUGCCAGCAGCCGCGGUAAUACGGAAGGUCCGGGCGUUAUCCGGAUUUAUUGGGUUUAAAGGGAGCGUAGGCCGGAGAUUAAGCGUGUUGUGAAAUGUAGACGCUCAACGUCUGCACUGCAGCGCGAACUGGUUUCCUUGAGUACGCACAAAGUGGGCGGAAUUCGUGGUGUAGCGGUGAAAUGCUUAGAUAUCACGAAGAACUCCGAUUGCGAAGGCAGCUCACUGGAGCGCAACUGACGCUGAAGCUCGAAAGUGCGGGUAUCGAACA